CACGUAGGGCGCGAGCGUUGUCCGGAAUUAUUGGGCGUAAAGAGCUCGUAGGCGGCCUGUUGCGUCCGCUGUGAAAGCCCGGGGCUUAACCCCGGGUCGGCAGUGGAUACGGGCAGGCUAGAGGUAGGUAGGGGAGAAUGGAAUUCCCGGUGUAGCGGUGAAAUGCGCAGAUAUCGGGAGGAACACCAGUGGCGAAGGCGGCAUCCUGGCCCUGUCCUGACGCUCAGGGGCGAAAGCGUGGGGAGCAAACCGG
This 253-nucleotide ribosomal RNA is filed under the name uncultured bacterium. RNAcentral's name for it is "partial 16S ribosomal RNA". It matches the Rfam family "Bacterial small subunit ribosomal RNA", at positions 524 to 776 of the family's 1533-position model. The record is from RNAcentral.